This 424-nucleotide ribosomal RNA is filed under the name uncultured bacterium. RNAcentral's name for it is "bacterial SSU rRNA". It matches the Rfam family "Bacterial small subunit ribosomal RNA", at positions 356 to 773 of the family's 1533-position model. The record is from RNAcentral.
AGGGAAUCUUCCGCAAUGGACGAAAGUCUGACGGAGCAACGCCGCGUGAGUGAUGAAGGUUUUCGGAUCGUAAAGCUCUGUUGCCAGGGAAGAACGUCUUCUGGAGUAACUGCCAGGAGAGUGACGGUACCUGAGAAGAAAGCCCCGGCUAACUACGUGCCAGCAGCCGCGGUAAUACGUAGGGGGCGAGCGUUGUCCGGAAUUAUUGGGCGUAAAGCGCGCGCAGGCGGCUGUUUAAGGCUGGGGGUUAAUCCUGGGGCUCAACCCCGGGUCGCACUGGAAACUGGACGGCUUGAGUGCAGAAGAGGAGAGUGGAAUUCCACGUGUAGCGGUGAAAUGCGUAGAGAUGUGGAGGAACACCAGUGGCGAAGGCGACUCUCUGGGCUGUAACUGACGCUGAGGCGCGAAAGCGUGGGGAGCAAAC